RNAcentral lists this ribosomal RNA (476 nucleotides) under uncultured bacterium. Its description in RNAcentral is "bacterial SSU rRNA". It matches the Rfam family "Bacterial small subunit ribosomal RNA", at positions 19 to 524 of the family's 1533-position model. The record is from RNAcentral.
CUGGCUCAGGAUGAACGCUGGCGGCGUGCCUAACACAUGCAAGUCGAGCGAUCUCUUCGGAGAGAGCGGCGGACGGGUGAGUAACGCGUGGGUAACCUGCCCUGUACACACGGAUAACAUACCGAAAGGUAUACUAAUACGGGAUAACAUACGAAAGUCGCAUGGCUUUUGUAUCAAAGCUCCGGCGGUACAGGAUGGACCCGCGUCUGAUUAGCUAGUUGGUAAGGUAAUGGCUUACCAAGGCAACGAUCAGUAGCCGACCUGAGAGGGUGAUCGGCCACACUGGAACUGAGACACGGUCCAGACUCCUACGGGAGGCAGCAGUGGGGAAUAUUGCACAAUGGGCGAAAGCCUGAUGCAGCAACGCCGCGUGAGCGAUGAAGGCCUUCGGGUCGUAAAGCUCUGUCCUCAAGGAAGAUAAUGACGGUACUUGAGGAGGAAGCCCCGGCUAACUACGUGCCAGCAGCCGCGGUAAU